CUCAUAUUAAAAGAUAUAAAAUUUUAAUCAAUAACGAGAGUGACGGGCGAUGUGUACACACUUCAGAGCCAAUAUCAGUUAAAUUAAAUAAUUUAAAUUACUAUCAAAUCCACCUUCAUUAAAAUAUUACAAAAUUAAAUCCAUAAUAAAAAAAAAUUAUUGUAACCCAUCAUACACUUAAUUAUAAGCUGCACCUUGACCUGAAAUAAAUUUUAAUAAAAAAACAAGAAAAUUUUUUCUCCAAAAAGAUUUUCUGAUUAACGGAGAUAUACAAACAAAUAAAUUAAGUAAAGUAAAUCGUGUACUAUCAAUCAUGAGAUAGGUUCCUCUGAAUGGAAUGAAAUACCGCCAAAUUCUUUGGGUUUAAAGACCUUAACUAAUAAUACCCAGGUAAAACAAAAUUUACAUUUAAAAUAAUA
This 419-nucleotide ribosomal RNA is filed under the name Locusta migratoria (migratory locust). Its description in RNAcentral is "partial 12S rRNA". The record is from RNAcentral. Lineage: Eukaryota; Metazoa; Arthropoda; Insecta; Orthoptera; Acrididae.